RNAcentral lists this ribosomal RNA (492 nucleotides) under uncultured bacterium. RNAcentral's name for it is "bacterial SSU rRNA". It matches the Rfam family "Bacterial small subunit ribosomal RNA", at positions 33 to 507 of the family's 1533-position model. The record is from RNAcentral.
GAGACGCUGGCGGCGUGGAUUAGGCAUGCAAGUCGGACGGUAGGGCUUUAUCGUAAGAUAGAGUUUGAGAGUGGCGAACGGGUGAGUAACACGUAGGAAUCUACCCUUAAGACGGGGACAACCCAGGGAAACUUGGGCUAAUACCGGAUGAGAGUGCGAGAGAUUGCAUUUAAAAGGAUGGCGAAAGUUGUCGCUUAGGGAUGAGCCUGCGGUCUAUUAGUUAGUUGGUGAGGUAAGAGCUCACCAAGGCGAUGAUAGAUAGGCGGCCUUAACGGGUGGUCGCCCACACUGGGAUUGAGAUACGGCCCAGACUCCUACGGGAGGCAGCAGUCGAGAAUAGUCUACAAUGGCCGAAAGGCUGAUAGUGCGACGCCGCGUGAACGAAGAAGCCCUUCGGGGUGUAAAGUUCUUUUAUAUGUGAGCAGUGCUUUCUAUGUGAACAGCAUGGGGAGAGAGAUAUUAGCAUAUGAAUAAGCAACGGCUAACUCCGUG